Molecule: long non-coding RNA, 1582 nt
Organism: Sapajus apella (tufted capuchin)
Lineage: Eukaryota; Metazoa; Chordata; Mammalia; Primates; Cebidae
Exons: 2
Source: RefSeq, a predicted model, not a curated record
CUCAAACUCCUGACCUCAGGAUCUACCUGCCUCAGCCUCCCAAAGUGCUGGGAUUACAGGUGUGAGCCACUGCACCCAGCUGGGGGACACAAAGUUUCUGUCCAUGACAAGUAGGGUAUGUGGAAGGAAAAUUUGAAAAGCUUGGUGUUGCUUUAGUAAUGGGAACCAGCCAGUUUGGGCUCUUUCUUCCUGAAAGGCUGAACUGACAAACCCUGCACCCUAUUUUCUGGAAUUGGUGGGCCGUUCACGGCCCUUCAGCCAUGCCCAUCAGUUUUUAGAAACCUGUGUUCUCUACCUCCCUUGCUCCCCUCUGUGGCUCCACAAGUGGGGAGGAAACUUGCCCCGCCUUGUGCAGGUGAGAGGCCAGGGCAUCUUAACCCCCACAACCCUGAAGAACCAAAGCCAAGGCUCACUUCCUAUCACCAGAUGACAGAUGUGGCCCGAGGAAGGCUCUGGGCCAUGGUGCAGGGCUGCCUGUAGCCAAGCUGUGCCACUUGCAUCCUGCUGGUCCUUCCUCCACUUACGUUCUGAGAGGACUCCCUACCUCUUCCAGCUGUGACUGCAGGACCCAAGGGAAGCAGGAGCAUGCAGAGCAAAUGAGAUGGUGGUGUAGGCCUCUGGGUGUUGGGUGCAGGGCAAGGGGCGGGCAUGAGGGCUCCCUGCAGAGGAUAUUAUAAGGGUCCAAGGUGGGAGACACAUGGCUGAGGUCCACUCCAAUCACUUGAUGCUGGAGAGCUUUGAGCAAUUUCCCUGGUGGUGGAGGGAGAGCACAGGACCAGCCUGGGGCAGAACCUGUGCCUCAGUCCUCUCGUCUCUUACAUCUCUUAACUGGGUGGGGAUCAUGCAAUACCUACUCCCAGGUGCUUGUGAGGAUUAACAGGUGGGCAGUGCUAACAGUGCCUAGGAACAAGGACUGGUGGGUCUAGCAGUGUCCCACCCUCCAGCUACAUUCCAAGCCCCAGCAUGGCAAGGCGCUCCCAGCUGCCAGGCCAGUCCCUGGUCAGAGUGCAGCUGUCCAGGAAGCAAGCUGUCUCGAGUCACUCUCCUUAGACGACCAGACCCCAACACAAGCCGGAUGUGGGCCGAUCUGUAGAGGCCACUUGCUUCAGGUAGCUCUAAAUUUCCCUUCUCAUACCAUAGCUUUUUUUUUUUUUUUUUUAAAGAAAAUGUUCAGGAUGAGUUAAGAGGGAGAGAAAUGUUCAUGGUUUCGUCACCUAGCUAUGGUGAAUGUCUGGGUCUUCCGUUUCUAGCCAGAGAACUGGAACCAAGUCACUGUCUUGCUAGGGGCUUUGCAUGACCUCAUGCCCUGGGCUCAAGAUGGGCUUGCCCAGGCUUUGGUGUCUUAACACUCAGAACCUUUGGCUGUGGUGACUCAAAUUCCUUGUUUUACCUUCACCAAGUGACCCAGAGCCAGGAGCCUUGUUGACUGGCAGUGACUACCCCUGCUUAGAAUGCAAGGAUUGCUAGGGAAGAUCUUAGAAAAAAAAAAGACUCCAAAAAUUGAGAACCUAAAUGUAUUUCUUUGAAAAUGUCACCCAUAGAUCCUCUACCCCUAACUCAACAAUAAAUUUCACCAAAUAGC